GGAUGUGAGGGUGAUCUGGCUGCGACAUCUGUCACCCGAUUGAUUGCCAGGGUUGAUUUGGCUGAUCUGGCUGGCUAGGUGGGUGUCCCCUUCCUCCUUCACGCUCCAUGUGCAUCCCUCCCUCUCAAAGAGGACGGCCCUCCCUGAAAAGAGAGGGACUGGUCUUGGGUCGAGGGUAUGGGAGUAGCUGCGCUCCCCUGCUAGAACCUCCAAACAAGCUCUCAAGAAUAGAGAAGUUUCCAAAUGAAGGGGAUGGAACACAGAACUCUGGUGGUGGGAACUGUGUGGAAUUGUUUGUACCAGUUAUCUUACA
Erinaceus europaeus (western European hedgehog) is the source of this 313-nucleotide unclassified non-coding RNA. Its record names the gene 7SK. It matches the Rfam family "7SK RNA". From Rfam's summary of the family: 7SK was discovered as an abundant small nuclear RNA in the mid-70s but a possible function has only recently been suggested. NCBI's taxonomy places the organism in Eukaryota, Metazoa, Chordata, Mammalia, Eulipotyphla, Erinaceidae. The record is from Ensembl.